CUCUCUCCUUUUCAUUUCAUAACUCGAUAAAAAUUAUGAGAAUUUUCUGCCAAUCGUUCAAAAGUGAAAUUAUUAUUGCGCAACCGACGACCCGGCGUCAACGAGGUUUGAUUGGAUUAGUGUCGACUACGUAAGGCUGGUGUACUCCACAUCGAACCAGCCAAUGCAACGAUACAACAAUGAAAGAGUAAUUACGAAAAGUUUGAUACAAAUGGAAAUUACUUGGCGAAACUGUCGAAGUGGCUUGUUAUCCACGGCCACGAUGAUUCAUCGCCGAAUCAUUCGCGUCGAUACAUGUGCAUCGCAGAUGCACGCCACUUUUCUUUCCACGAUUCGGUUCCAGCAUCGAGGAUAUGAAUCACGACACGACGCAGGUUGUGAAAAAAUUG
Molecule: long non-coding RNA, 389 nt
Organism: Apis dorsata (giant honeybee)
Lineage: Eukaryota; Metazoa; Arthropoda; Insecta; Hymenoptera; Apidae
Exons: 2
Source: RefSeq, a predicted model, not a curated record